UGGAGAGUGAUUCUUCUGCCGAAACAACGAAGGAGUCGGAGGAGAAGAAACAAAGAACCAAAGGAAAAUCAGCCGAAGAAUCACCGGCUGAAGUGAACAUGGUAUAUGCUCUGCCUCAAUCCUUUAAGGCAGAGUUUAUUGAGUAUGAAGAGUUUAGAGAGGAGAAACAGAUUAGAAAACAUUACAGAGGAAGGAGGUGGAGUUUCGGCAGCUUCUUCCGAUUUUUUGUCUGAUAUGGAUGGCUCGGCAGGGUU
Molecule: long non-coding RNA, 254 nt
Filed under: Ananas comosus (pineapple)
Lineage: Eukaryota; Viridiplantae; Streptophyta; Magnoliopsida; Poales; Bromeliaceae
Description: long non-coding RNA (ACOM_LNC041222)
Source: RNAcentral